RNA transcript from Sapajus apella (tufted capuchin), 1049 nucleotides. It is a transcript of the gene named dynein light chain 1, axonemal pseudogene, with no coding region annotated. The record is from RefSeq and is a predicted model, not a curated record. The transcript has a single exon. Lineage: Eukaryota; Metazoa; Chordata; Mammalia; Primates; Cebidae.
AAUUAGCCAGGUAUGGUGGCAUGCACCUGUAGUCCCAGCUACUCGGGAGGCCGAGAUGGGAGGAUCACUUGAGCCUGGGAGGUCAAGAGUGCAGUGAGCCCUCUUGUUUGUUUUUAACUCUUUUAAAACCUUCCUAACAAGGAAGAUUCUUAGUUGUUAGGCCAUACGAAAUACAAAAAUAGGCCACUCAAGCCCUGCUGUAGAGAGCAGAGCAUCAGGUGGAGUUUUGAUGCAAACAACCUUGCAAAGUUCCUUCCAGCCUGAAAUCCUGAGCUGUGAAGCAGAGGAGGCCCUUUGACGGUGCCACUGCACUCCAGCCUGAGUAACACAGCGAGACCAAAAAAAAAAAAAGGGGGGGGACCCUAGCAACCAGAGCAGUGACAGUAGCAACCGCCGUUAUGGCGAAAGCAACAACAAUCAAAGAAACCCUAGCGAGAUGGGAAGAGAAAACUGGCCAGGGGCCAUCUGAAGCCAAAGAGAUAUAACGUUAUGCCCAGAUUCCCCCCAUAGAGAAGAUGGAUGCAUCCUUGUCCACGCUUGCUAAUGGCGAGAAGCUUUCACUGUCUACAAACUACAUUGAAAAAAUUGCCAACCUGAGUGGCUUUAAAAACUUGAGGAUAUUAUCAUUAGGAAGAAACAACAUAAAGAACUUAAAUGGACUGGAGGCAGUAGGGGAUACAUUAGAAGGACUGUGGAUCUCGUACAAUUUUAUUGAGAAGUUGAAAGGGAUCCACGUAAUGAAGAAAUUGAAGAUUCUCUACAUGUCUAAUAACCUGGUAAAAGACUGGGCUGAGUUUGUGAAGCUGGCAGAACUGCCAUGCCUGGAAGACCUGGUGUUUGUAGGCAAUCCCUUGGAAGAGAAACAUUCUGCUGAGAACAACUGGAUUGAAGAAGCUACCAAGAGAGUGCCCAAACUGAAAAAGCUGGGUGGUACUCCAGUCAUUAAGGAGGAUGAGGAAGAAGAUAACUAAUGCCACCUUUUCCACUUUGUGUUAACUUAUUUAAAUGUCAUAAGAACAAUAGAUACAUUUCAUAUUAAAAAAAAAAAA